This 443-nucleotide ribosomal RNA is filed under the name uncultured bacterium. RNAcentral describes it as "partial 16S ribosomal RNA". It matches the Rfam family "Bacterial small subunit ribosomal RNA", at positions 339 to 795 of the family's 1533-position model. The record is from RNAcentral.
CUACGGGGGGCACCAGUGGGGAAUAUUGCACAAUGGGCGAAAGCCUGAUGCAGCAACGCCGCGUGAGGGACGACGGCCUUCGGGUUGUAAACCUCUUUUAGCAGGGAAGAAGCGAAAGUGACGGUACCUGCAGAAAAAGCACCGGCUAACUACGUGCCAGCAGCCGCGGUAUACGUAGGGUGCAAGCGUUGUCCGGAAUUAUUGGGCGUAAAGAGCUCGUAGGCGGUUUGUCGCAUCUGCUGUGAAAAUCCGAGGCUCAACCUCGGACCUGCAGUGGGUACGGGCAAACUAGAGUGCGGUAGGGGAGAUUGGAAUUCCUGGUGUAGCGGUGGAAUGCGCAGAUAUCAGGAGGAACACCAAUGGCGAAGGCAGAUCUCUGGGCCGUAACUGACGCUGAGGAGCGAAAGCGUGGGGAGCGAACAGGAUUAGAUACCCGGGUAGUC